Molecule: ribosomal RNA, 400 nt
Filed under: uncultured bacterium
Lineage: Bacteria
Description: bacterial SSU rRNA
Rfam family: Bacterial small subunit ribosomal RNA
Source: RNAcentral
GGAAUUUUGCGCAAUGGGCGAAAGCCUGACGCAGCAACGCCGCGUGAUUGAAUAAGCCCUUCGGGGUGUAAAGAUCUGUCAGUAGGGACGAAACUUGACGGUACCUACAGAGGAAGCAUCGGCUAACUCCGUGCCAGCAGCCGCGGUAAUACGGGGGAUGCGAGCGUUGUCCGGAAUCAUUGGGCGUAAAGAGUUCGUAGGUGGUUUGUUAAGUUAGGUGUUAAAGGCGUGGGCUCAACUCACGUAUGGCACUUGAUACUGGCAGACUUGAAUGCGGUAGAGGUAAAGGGAAUUCCUGGUGUAGCGGUGAAAUGCGUAGAUAUCAGGAGGAACAUCGGUGGCGUAAGCGCUUUACUGGGCCGUAAUUGACACUGAGGAACGAAAGCCGGGGUAGCAAAUG